Molecule: transfer RNA, 66 nt
Filed under: Loripes lacteus
Lineage: Eukaryota; Metazoa; Mollusca; Bivalvia; Lucinida; Lucinidae
Description: tRNA-Gly
Source: RNAcentral
UUACUAAUAGUAUAAGUAGUAUCUCUGUUUUCCAUUCAGAGGGUUUGGUUGUUUCCGAUUAGUAAA